GUGUCAGCCGCCGCGGUAAUACGGAGGGUGCAAGCGUUAUCCGGAUUUAUUGGGUUUAAAGGGUCCGUAGGCGGAUUAAUAAGUCAGUGGUGAAAUCCUAUCGCUUAACGAUAGAACUGCCAUUGAAACUGUUAGUCUUGAGUGAUGUUGAAGCGGCUGGAAUGUGUAGUGUAGCGGUGAAAUGCCUAGAUAUUACGCAGAACACCAAUUGCGAAGGCAGGUCACUAAGUAUCAACUGACGCUGAUGGACGAAAGCAUGGGGAGCAAACAGGAUUAGAUACCCCUGUAGUCC
This 292-nucleotide ribosomal RNA is filed under the name uncultured prokaryote. Its description in RNAcentral is "partial 16S ribosomal RNA". It matches the Rfam family "Bacterial small subunit ribosomal RNA", at positions 505 to 796 of the family's 1533-position model. The record is from RNAcentral.